AGAACGAACGCUGGCGGCAUGCCUAAUACAUGCAAGUCGAACGAACACUUCGGUGUUAGUGGCGCACGGGUGCGUAACGCGUGGGAAUCUGCCCUUGGGUUCGGAAUAACAGUUGGAAACGACUGCUAAUACCGGAUGAUAUCGAAAGAUCAAAGAUUUAUCGCCCAGGGAUGAGCCCGCGUAGGAUUAGCUAGUUGGUGAGGUAAAGGCUCACCAAGGCGACGAUCCUUAGCUGGUCUGAGAGGAUGAUCAGCCACACUGGGACUGAGACACGGCCCAGACUCCUACGGGAGGCAGCAGUAGGGAAUAGUUGGACAAUGGGCGCAAGCCU
This 331-nucleotide ribosomal RNA is filed under the name uncultured soil bacterium. Its description in RNAcentral is "bacterial SSU rRNA". It matches the Rfam family "Bacterial small subunit ribosomal RNA", at positions 26 to 384 of the family's 1533-position model. The record is from RNAcentral.